GUUUGCCCGUCGCGGCACAUUUGAGUGCAUGAUUGUGUUUGCCCCUUGUUGAGUGAUGGGAACGGGCUUGUGUGUUUGUGUUACAGUGGCACAGUAUAAUACACAGGAAGUUUGGGGAGCACCCUCAACCACAGCGCCUGACGAGAGAAGCCAUGCGGAAUUACCUGAAGGAACGAGGAGACCAAACUGUGCUCAUCCUACACGCUAAAGUUGCACAGAAAUCAUACGGCAAUGAAA
Long non-coding RNA from Sinocyclocheilus rhinocerous, 237 nucleotides. RefSeq lists it as uncharacterized. Lineage: Eukaryota; Metazoa; Chordata; Actinopteri; Cypriniformes; Cyprinidae. The record is from RefSeq and is a predicted model, not a curated record. The transcript is spliced from 3 exons.